AUAUAUAUAUAUAUUAUAUAUAUGUAUGUAUAUACAUAUAUAUAAAUGCACACACCAGUGAGUGGACAAACGCAAAGAAAAAGGCACCUUAAAUAGGGGUUACGCAUAUCAUUAUUUAAAAUAGCUUGAUUUAGCCCCAUUACUUACGUUUUUCUCCUUUUUUAAAAUUCUGGUAUUUAUUCUAUUAAUCUCUCUUUUGUUAAAGUGCUAAAUUACAGGGAAGAAGACAAACCAACACUGACAAGCUGUGAGGUGGUGGGGACAAAUGCAAAUGCAAAGAUACAACCACACACACACACACACACACACACAUGCAUACAUUUAUAAUGGACUUCUACAAAGUUUCUGUCUAUCAAAUUCACUCACAAGGCGUUGAUCAGCCCAGGUCUAUAGAAGAAAAAUACUGGCCCAGGAUGCCACACAGUGGGACUGAACCUGAAACUACAUAGUUGCAAAGCAAGUCAGUAUUUUGUUUGAAAAAUACACAAAUUUAUAAUUUGAUGCAUCAUAGUUUACUUAUCAGUUGAUUGGUAAUGUACUGAUUUACUAAUUUAUUUAACUUCAGGUUUAGUAUGAGCUUGGAUGAAGAAUACAUUGUCUAAAUGUUUGUUUUUCUGAAAAUGAGAUCCUGAUCCUGAAAAAUUAUCUUUCAUAAGAAAUCUGUGUGUGUGUGUGUGUGUGUGUGUUGUGUGUGUGUGUGUGUGUGUGUGUGUGUGUGUGUGGCAUGUGUACACAUGUGUGUCCAUGUGCACAAAAUGAAAAAUUUACAAGACUCAUAACUAAGAAAGCGAUGACAAUAGACUAUUUCUGUAACUCAAUGAUGAAAGGGAAAUUUGUGCCGAUGGACUAAAAUGUUACAAUUCAUAUACCACAAGAACACUCUCCUUAGGCUGUGUCAACUUGGCAUUAAAAGAUUAUUGUUGUUGCAAUUGUUAUAGUCACAGGGGUACUGUUUCUACAUUUACCAACAUCCCUACUGCCUUUAGGAAAGGCAUAAAUGUGACUACCUGCUAUUUCUUGUUUUUUUAUAAAUAUAAAUAUGAGGCUUCAUGUCUAAUGUAUACCUCAGACUUAUUGUUAUUGUUACUCUGCUUGUUACUCUGUUAAUCCUUUGUUAAUCAUUUCAAUAACAUUGUUAUUUUCAUUAAUAUUUUUAUCAUCAUCAUCAUUAUUGUCAACAUCAUCUUCAUCAUCAUCAUUAUCAUCAUCAUACUCAUCAUCAUCAUCAUCAUUGCAUAAUAUAAUUUAUGCGAAAAACCAUUGGGUGAUAAAAUUUAGUGUUUACUACAAUGAUGUAUGUGACAGUGAGUUAAAAGAACUCCAACCUUUGACCAAAUCAAAUGUUUUCAAAUCAUUUCUUGCUACAUUUCAACACUAAAAAUUUCAUAAAUGUUAUUGAAUUCAAAAAAUUGUAUUAUUUGUUUAUUUUCUUUUUAGUUAGCUUUUACUCAAUAUCAACUGUGACAUAAUUGUUAUGAACAGCUUCCUCUUUCUAAAUCUCGGUGGAAGUACUUUUAAUGUUUGCUUCUGAUGUCUUUGCUAUUUGCAAAUCAAAAUGAACCACAAAUGAAAUAUGCUGGUCUCAAAGCUUUCCAUUUUUUUUUUAACUAAACAUCCCCCAUACUCACAAUUUCAUUAAACAAUGCCUGCUUCUUUUCCCUUUUAUUUUUAUACUUUUUUUAAUUGAUUCAGAUAUUCUUUCACUAAAAUGUUAACCAAAUAUAUCCUAUUAUUUUCCAUUUCUAAUAUGCUUCUCAAGACAGUGAUAUGUUUGCUUGUUAUUUGUUAUUUCAAAUCAUAUCUGUUUUAAUCUGCUCUGUACAUUAUCCAUAUCUUUUAAUCAUCUAUUACAAUCAUAAUUAUGGAAAAAAAACAUCUUUCUUUAUCAAUAUUUUCAAUAUUCUAUGUUUUCUUUUCAAUUCAAAGUUGAUAAGAUGUCAAGAUGUCAGAUUUAGAUUCCAAGGUAAGUUUAUCAUGAAAAUUCCUGUUGUUACAGAGAACUUUCUAUUCCUUUUAUGGCAGUGAAAUAUAAACCUGGAGACAUCAAAUCUAUAUUUAUCAAAUAUUUUAUUUUCCACAGUAUGUUUUUCAAAAAUAAG
Octopus sinensis (East Asian common octopus) is the source of this 2099-nucleotide long non-coding RNA. RefSeq lists it as uncharacterized. The transcript is spliced from 2 exons. NCBI's taxonomy places the organism in Eukaryota, Metazoa, Mollusca, Cephalopoda, Octopoda, Octopodidae. The record is from RefSeq and is a predicted model, not a curated record.